AUACUUGGUGGAUGGCUUAAGCAUGGCCGAUCAAGGUGGUCCUUCAAUUGGUGAAUCCUCUGAUGGGGAAGUUGUAUUUCUAUGAGAAGCAGUGAUGAAAACUAGAUAUCGAUUAGGAGUGCUCAGGGUCGGAUGAGGUAAUUUGGUUGGACAAGUCAUAAGAUUUUAGAGGAGAAAUUGGAGAAUCUCCGGCUACAUUUUAUGUAGGUUUUGGAGUUAUAAGAGGAAU
This 229-nucleotide long non-coding RNA is filed under the name Elaeis guineensis (African oil palm). RNAcentral describes it as "long non-coding RNA (EGUI_LNC017281)". The record is from RNAcentral. Lineage: Eukaryota; Viridiplantae; Streptophyta; Magnoliopsida; Arecales; Arecaceae.